UACGUAUGGUGCAAGCGUUGUUCGGAAUCAUUGGGCGUAAAGGGUAUGUAGGCGGGACUGUAAGUCAGAUGUGAAAACUACGAGCUCAACUCGUAGCCUGCAUUUGAUACUGUGGUUCUGGAGUUUGGGAGAGGCAAGCGGAAUUCCUGGUGUAGCGGUGAAAUGCGUAGAUAUCAGGAGGAACACCGGUGGCGAAAGCGGCUUGCUGGCCUAAAACUGACGCUGAGAUACGAAAGUGUGGGGAGCGAACGGG
This 253-nucleotide ribosomal RNA is filed under the name uncultured bacterium. RNAcentral's name for it is "partial 16S ribosomal RNA". It matches the Rfam family "Bacterial small subunit ribosomal RNA", at positions 524 to 776 of the family's 1533-position model. The record is from RNAcentral.